Molecule: long non-coding RNA, 1772 nt
Organism: Oncorhynchus kisutch (coho salmon)
Lineage: Eukaryota; Metazoa; Chordata; Actinopteri; Salmoniformes; Salmonidae
Exons: 4
Source: RefSeq, a predicted model, not a curated record
UGACGUCCUUUCCCUUCGUCAAAUUUACGUAAUCGCAUUAUUUUGUAAACAAUUUUUUUACAAAGCUAAUGUAAUGGAUUUAAAAAGUGUUUUUACCCCGGGAUAGCCCACUAAUAUGAGCCAUACUAUGGAAUAUCAUUUAUUGAGUGCAAUUCGAUCUGAAUAUAUCAUACAUUUAAAAGGAUUUGCAAUUUUGCAUGAGCAGGCUUAAAUUUCCCGGGAACCAUAACAUGGUGUCAUUUCCGCGUCUUUCUUUUUCCAACACAGAUAAGCCAAAACCACGACCCGUUAUUCAGAGGGGCAUUCUACGACGCUUUGAGUGCUCGCCAAGGCUCCAAGACCGGAAGGGAAUAUCACCAUGUGAACAGUAUGGGUGCUUAAAGCCACUGUUCUGGCCUUUUGUACCAGCCUUGGUGGAACAACAGGCAACAACUGUAGGCUGACAAGGAAUCAUAGUGCCUGGUCAUCUGGCAGCUUUUCGGAGUGCUGCUGCUCUGUUGGCUGCUGGGCUGAUGUGAGACUUCCCAAAGCAAUGGAUGGCAGACACAAGACUUGAUGGAUUGCCUUUAAUUACAUUAAAUUGCUUCGCCAUUGCCUCCAGUGCCUCACUGAAGUUGUCAUCGAUACUCAGCCUAUUUAAGUCAUCCAGCAUUCCAGCAACCAGAUGAAGCAGGUGGACUUGGCAGAGUUCCAUACAUGGCUGUGGCUGCCAAGAAGGUGGCCAUUGAGGUAAAGGGCAUGCCAGGUCGGAUAGUUAAAAAAAAAAAGCCCUCCCACUAUGGCAUGGACCAACUACCUACCAUUUCGGAGGCAGGCCGUGGCAUCAAGUUCACAAGAAGUUCCUACACAGGCUCAAGGAUCCUGUGAUGGCCGGCCAUUUCCUGGGAACAGUAGUCCUUGCAGUGCUUCUGCCAUCAAGUCUUGGAGGCCCAUACUUCUCAGCUGCAGAUAUAAUGAUGUCCAGCUUCUUGGACCUCUUGGACACUUGUGCAGUACAAUUAAUAACUCUGGCUAUAAAUGCUACAAAUCCACCUUUUUCACAAUAAGUGUAUCCAGAUCCCUUGAUCGAAGUAUAACAUUUGCAACUGGUUGUUGUGCAUCUACCGCCAUAUCGUCUUCAGAACUGUGGCCUCUUGCCCCUUCAAUGCUAUUCACCGCCUCCACAUAUGAAAUUUGCUGUACAUCCCUGAUUCUUGACACCUCAACCUCUUUCACCCUAACAAGGCACUCAGGGAAUUCGGAAAUAUGAACCCCACAACAGUUGCAACAUUUUACAUUCACAGACUCUCUAAUAACAUAUUCCUUCCGUCUGCAAACACUUGAUACAUGGCAAAACGUUUUACACUUCUUUCAUUGCGUUGGGUUUUGCACGAAGGCUCUUAUGGCAUAUCUUAUAUAUCCCAACUUUACAUAGGUGGUAAAUACUCAUCAAACAUCAAUAAUACUGUCAUGUUCUGACCUUAGUUCUUUUGUUAUGUCUUUGUUUAGUAUGGUCAGGGCGUGAGUUGGGUGGGUUGUCUAUGUUCCUUUUUCUAUGAUUUGGGAUUUCUGUGUUUGGCCUGGUAUGGUUCUCAAUCAGAGGCAGCUGUCAAUCGUUGUCCCUGAUUGAGAACCAUACUUAGGUUGCCUGGUUUCACUUUUGAGUUGUGGGUGAUUAUUUUCCGUAUUAGUGUUUGUACCACACGGGACUGUUUCGUUUGUUUCACUUUGUUCUUUUGUAUUUUGUAGUGUUCAGUUUGACAUAUUAAAAUGGACACUUACCACGCUGCAAA